AUACCCUCAAGCAUAGCUUGGUAUUGGGCUUUCGUCCACUGGAUGGGCCUAAAAAUUAGUGGAGAUGCCCCUCUGGCUUCAAGCGUAGUAAUAAAAAAAAACUCGUCUUGAUAAAAAGUGGGAAAGUAUCUGCCAAACAAAAAACCUUUCCAAAAAG
Molecule: unclassified non-coding RNA, 157 nt
Filed under: uncultured Ascomycota
Lineage: Eukaryota; Fungi; Ascomycota
Description: sequence contains ITS2
Source: RNAcentral